RNAcentral lists this ribosomal RNA (483 nucleotides) under uncultured bacterium. Its description in RNAcentral is "bacterial SSU rRNA". It matches the Rfam family "Bacterial small subunit ribosomal RNA", at positions 30 to 507 of the family's 1533-position model. The record is from RNAcentral.
AUUGAACGCUGGCGGAAUGCUUUACACAUGCAAGUCGAACGGCAGCACGGGGCAACCUGGUGGCGAGUGGCGAACGGGUGAGUAAUACAUCGGAACGUGCCCAAUCGUGGGGGAUAACGUAGCGAAAGUUACGCUAAUACCGCAUACGAUCUACGGAUGAAAGCGGGGGAUCGCAAGACCUCGCGCGAAUGGAGCGGCCGAUGUCAGAUUAGGUAGUUGGUGGGGUAAAGGCUCACCAAGCCAACGAUCUGUAGCUGGUCUGAGAGGACGACCAGCCACAACUGGAACUGAGACACGGUCCAGACUCCUACGGGAGGCAGCAGUGGGGAAUUUUGGACAAUGGGCGCAAGCCUGAUCCAGCCAUUCCGCGUGCAGGAUGAAGGCCUUCGGGUUGUAAACUGCUUUUGUACGGAACGAAACGGUCUGCCCUAAUACGGUGGGCUAAUGACGGUACCGUAAGAAUAAGCACCGGCUAACUACGUG